GAUGAACGCUGGCGGCGUGCCUAAUACAUGCAAGUCGAGCGAACAGAUGAGGAGCUUGCUCCUCUGACGUUAGCGGCGGACGGGUGAGUAACACGUGGAUAACAUACCUAUAAGACUGGGAUAACUUCGGGAAACCGGAGCUAAUACCGGAUAAUAUAUUGAACCGCAUGGUUCAAUAGUGAAAGACGGUUUUGCUGUCACUUAUAGAUGAAUCCACGCCGCAUUAGCUAGUUGGUAAGUUAACGGCUUACCAAGGCAACGAUGCGUAGCCGACCUGAGAGGGUGAUCGGGCACACUGGAACUGAGACACGGUCCAGACUCCUACGGGAGGCAGCAGUAGGGAAUCUUCCGCGAUGGGGGAAAGCGUGAUGUAGCAACGCCGCGUGAGCGAUGAAGGACUUCGGAUGGGAAAACUCUGUUAUUAGGGAAGAACAAAUGUGUAAGUAACUAUGCACGUAUUGACGGUACCUAAUCAGAAAGCCACGGCUAACUACGUG
RNAcentral lists this ribosomal RNA (497 nucleotides) under uncultured bacterium. Its description in RNAcentral is "partial 16S ribosomal RNA". It matches the Rfam family "Bacterial small subunit ribosomal RNA", at positions 28 to 507 of the family's 1533-position model. The record is from RNAcentral.